Non-coding RNA from Pelobates cultripes (western spadefoot toad), 460 nucleotides. Lineage: Eukaryota; Metazoa; Chordata; Amphibia; Anura; Pelobatidae. The record is from the annotation of a GenBank genome assembly.
UUUUAUGAGAAAUCCCCCUGCAAGAGGACCUCUCACAGUAAACAAAGACAAUAACCAAUCAACAUACAGAUUUACAGUAACCCCUGCCCUCUCUCUGCCUGGGAGAUAUUGAGAUAAGUUAAGGAAUAACCCAAUUAUCUCUAGGCAGAGGGCACACAAUUUUCCCAAAAAUUAGAACACCCCUUUCCACACAAGGUAUCCCCACAAAUUACAUAUCACCUGAUAUCCCCGAUCUGGGAGACCAACAUAUUCAAAUUUCACCCAGAUCGGGUCAGCGGUUCUCAAAAAGUAUGGAAGUCAUAAGUUACCGACCACACACAAGGCUUCUGCCCAAAACAGUUCCACGAAUUCAGCGGGUGCGGUCGGUCAAUUCAGUAAAUGACAUAAAACGAAUAAAAGUCACGAAUGGAUCCUCCUGGCUCAUAGGAGUGAUUGCUCCCCUUGUUCAUAUGAACCAAAC